UACUAGAGUCAACAGCUGUUCUGAUGAAAUAGACGUGGUCCUCCAUUCACCACAAAGGCAGAGGUCAAGACUGACAGCAACUGCGCAUCACCAGGCGGAAAUUGCUAAGUUCUGGAGGCCGGCGCUGAUGCGAGACUGGGGCCUGCUGGAUCUGUCCCUGGUCACAGAGCAGCUGUGCGCUGUCAAAGUGCCGAGCGCUGUUACAGGUUUUUGCAGUUGUUGUUAUUUAAACCUCAAUCUAAAAAUCUAGUUUAAGAAGUGGGAAUGUUUGUGAUACACGUGAAUAAACCAAGGGGAAGAACUCAGAAGUUACAUCAUCCAUGAAGGGUGAAAAUGUGAUGAACUUUCACUGCUCCAAAGCACUAUAGUAAGUACUAAUGCAUGAGCAAAACCUUUUUAAGGGAAAGAUAAUCAUCACCCUCAGGAGAACAAAAUUCUGUUUGUUUACCUUAUAGAAUAGGAUUCUUAAGCAAAAAAAUAAUGUGGUGCCUGGAGUAUAAUUUGCAAUUAUAGUUCUGAGAAAUUUGGAAAAAUUUCAGACUAAUAGGAGAAUCUGGCAUAGAAGCAAAGAGAAAUGAGGGUUUUUGUUUUUGUUUUUUAAAUGUGUAGGUGACAGUGAAAGCCAUGACUAUUUUGAUAUGUAGAUCACAUAGCUGCUACAUACUGGGAUACAAACUAUUACUUAUUAACAAUGUAUUUGCCUCAGAUUAUCUGUUGAAAUCACAUACCACAUUCCAAUAUGUAGACCUUUCUGGACUCAAGACUAUUUUGGUGUAUCUGUAUAUAUGUUAUUGAGUGAUAACAGAAUAGUCCAGAAAUUAGUACUAAAUAUUUCUUUGUAGAUUUCUAGAAGGAUGCUCCUCUUGGAAACUUCACACUGUAAGACGUAGCAUUGUGCAUUCAUUCAUACAGAGCACACUGUGUCAGGUGUAGAAGAUAUAGAGAUGCAUGUGUCGCUGCCUACCCUAUUUUGAGUAGCAAACAUGCACAACAAUCAUCAGUGUUCAUUUAUAUCUUGUAGGAGGUGGGCAAUUACCUUUGCCUAGUGAACUGGGAAAAUAUCUGAAGGGAGGUGAUAGCUGAACUAGUUAUGAAGGAUUAACAUUCAGAAAAACACUCUGAUGGUUAUGUGCAUUGCAGGACAGAAAACUAGUUAUGAAAGAUUAACAUUCAGAAAAACACUCUGAUGGUUAUGUGCAUUGCGGGACAGAAAAUAAUGGAGAAAUUCAUUGUUGGCAUACUAGAUGGGUAUGAGAGAAAAGACUUGGCUGGUGACAUGAGUGGCUGCAGGAGCCAGCUGAUGCAGGGCCUAGUAAGCCCUGCUAAGGAGUUUAUUUGUAAUAAACUCCUAAUUCAUAAAUCCCAAUAGUUAUGAUUUAUUGGAUAUUGUGUUAGGCACUAUGCUAAGCACCUCAAAGAGACAGAGGUACUACUAUUACUAUUGUACUAGUUAAAAAAAAAAGAAAAAAAAAAACAACCUGAGGCUUAGUGAUGAAACACAGAGGUUUAAAUAAAUAGCUGGUAAGGAGUGAAGCCAAGAUCCAUAUACCAGGUGUGACUCUGAAGCUCAUAUACUGUAAUGCCUCCUACCUGUUCUCUGUAGGCUUUUUAUUCAGCUGUGUAAAUUAUCAGCACCAUAGCACAGGUUCAAACUAACUCUCUCUCUCUCUGCCCCCGUGCAUUCUCUGUGGGCUAAGAGACACCAGAAGAUUCAUAGACCUGGGUUAGAAAAACGUUUGAUCCUAUAGCUUUCCUCCUCAUUAGAACAGAAAUUCAUGUUGUAAAAUAUAGAACCCUAUAAAGAAAUACAAAUCAUUUCUUAUCCUACUACACAAAGGUCACCACUAUAAACAUUUCUUUAUAUUUUUAUAUAUGUACAUACUCAAACAUACUUGAAAUUAUGUGUUUAUCAAGUAUGUUCCAUUCAGCAUCCUACUCAUUUUACUACUUAAUCUCAAAUUCAUUUUACAUUUUAGACACAUUUUAAAAGAAAACUAUUUUAAAAGUUUUCAAGUAUUCAACUGUGCAGUGUUGCUAUUUAACCACCUACUUGGUAUCUAUUUUUAUAUUCUCUUUAUUUCUAAUUGUUUUUCUUAUUAGGUUUGCCAAUCAUUAUUGCCCUUCCUCAAAGUUUCUUGUCAACAGCUAAAGGGGUUAGAUAGUAUUUCUAUUGAUCUUAAGUACUAUUAUCUCAGAAUGUAACAAAGGAUGCUGAAAGCUCUUCAGAUAAUCCAUCUAGAAACUUUUAGGACAACCAUCUUCAUAAAAACAUACAAAAAUACUUGUGCAAAGUGGAAUGCCUUUUUUCAGAGCAGGUUCAGUCAAAUUCUUUUGCAUGUCAAUUGUCUGAGGUUCCAUAUGUUCCCCACAGACAAGUUACAACCAUUAACAAUGCAAAUCUGAAAACUAUUGGUGCAAUCAGAAUCCUGCACUGAAGAAUGCCAUGACUCUCAGAGAAAUCAAAAAGGGAACUAAAAAAAAAAAAUCCAGCUACUUCUUUGGUACAUAAAGUAUAAAGUGGGCAUUUAAUUUCAUAGUAAACAAAGGACUGGUUCAAUGGCUGUGUGUCUCAUCUGUACAUGUGUGUGGGUUGAUGCCGCCUACAGAACACAUGUUUUUCUUUUAAACCAUACUCAACACUAUCGGGAAAGGUGAGAUAAUCUGCAAACAACCCUAAGUUGGCUUGUUUACUGGCACUAAAAUACGAAUGGCUUUAGUCUUCCUGUACAGAGUAUUAAUAAGAACCACCUGGUCAAGCAGCACCCAGAAACGAGGUCAAAGGAUAAAACUUCCUGUAGUAUAUUACAGACAACUCAUCACAAUGCAGUGGGGAUGGGCCAUUCAUUUGGGCAGAAGAGCCAAAGGUUCUACAAUGAAAACUUUGCAAAUCUUAGGUGUACAUGAAAGAAAACUGGUAGAUUCUGGGGACACUCCACCCACAAGGAUAGCAACUCUAUCCUCUGCAUUCUUUCAUGGCAUGCAGGGUAGUGAUGUCGGCUGUAGUUAGCAGUUUCAUUCUCACAAAAAUAGUAGACUUCUUUAAGAAAUGCACAUUUUGUAUUAAGUGAAUGACUAUAAGAAGACAGUCUAGAGGAGAGGAGGUGUCAAACUCCUGUUAACAAUCAGAGCUAAUAUUGCACAAUGAUAAUAUUUUCCCUAAGUACGUACUGAUGUGAAGAUUUUAUGCAUUUAUAAAAGCUUCUCAGGACAACUGGAUACAAAGUAAACUUUUUUUUCUCUUGCAUCAAUGUUUAGCCACUAGAACAAACAUUUCUUGUAUGAAAUCGGAGAGAAAUGGUGGCAAAAGAGAAAAAGAAAAACACAUGCUAGAAUGAGGAGACCUGGGUUAUAUUCUCAACUUUGACAUUAGCUAUGUGACCUUCAAUUAUGGCACAGUCUGCCUGAAGCCCUAGUUUCUUUAUAACAUGAGCGUUUAGGGAAAAUGACUCAGGGUUGCUUCUAGGUCAAAGAAAGUCUGUGACUUUAUUAUCAAAACAAAGUCUGUUACCUGCAUAGCACCGUAGCUACAGUAGAUACGUAAUACACAAAAGACAUAUAUCCCCAAUGCCAAGAGCUGACCAGCAGGCAAGAUAUAACUGAUGAAACAAUUUUAUUACAGUGUAAGGCAAUGAGGGAUGAAGAAUUAAAAAGACAAAUUCAGAGAGAAGAGAGCUCAGUUGUAACCUGGAGAGGGUAAACUGAGCUUGAGCUGAAUUUGAAGAAUGGGUGAAGUUGGAGAGGUGGAAGGGAAGUGGAUAGGGUUCCCAGUUAGGAGGAGUAAUUGGCCUGUGGAGGAUGGGGCUGGACUGGUGUGUAAAAUCGUAGAGAUGUUAAGGAGGUUUGUCAAGGUAGCAGCACUUGGAAUAUCUAACUAAGGAGUUUAGACUUUUGUCUUGUAAAUGGAAGGAGCGAGAGGCUAACACUUCCUCAGUGCCAAGAGACACAAAUAGGUGGGGGCAUUUUAAGCAAUUUAGGGCAGCAGUCGGGAAGGAUGGACCAAAGAUGUUUCUGGCUGGUAGCAGAGAAACUAGGUAGAAUUACAGUGGAAAUGGAGUGGGUGUAAUAGAUGCAAGACAUAUUGUGAAGAGAGUUCAUGUGACUCAGCGGUGGGUGGGAAUCAAAGAACCCCAAAUCAUGUCUGAGUGGGCCAACUGGUUUGGGAUAGCUGAAUUCAUUUGCUUGUAUUCAGACAUUCAGAUGGGUAGAACAUGGGAUAUUUACCCAGAGAUAUUUUCUCAGGUUGCUGAAGCCCUGGGACCAAAAACAGAGCUACCCACAAAUCUUAACAGAAAUGACAGCUGGAACUGCAACAUGCAUGUGAUUCGUUUAUCAAGAUUAGGCAUAUAUUGAGAGAAGUAGGUAUCAAGGCCUAAAAUUAGCACAUGCUUUUGUGUCUCCAGAACCAAAAUUUUGCCUGAUGGGAAAACAAUGACACAUCCUUCCUGUUUUUCUUGCCUCCUGGAGCAACUUCAAAAAUCUCCUUCCUCCAUCCUUCCUCAUCUGAUAUUUAGCAUUUAUACUUUUAGACUACAUAUAACAACAACCAUAUAAAAAGCUGGGUAUGUGGAUACAUAUAUGUAAGCAGAAUUUUGCUGAAUUAUUAAAAAUGUGUUAAUUACAAUGUUUCAAAGUUUUUAAAGCAUAUACCCUCUGACUUAAUUAUUGCAGUUUUAGGAAUUUAUCCUACAGAUGCACUUGCACAUGCAUGAACUGCAGAACUGUUUGCAGUAGUAAAUACUGGAAACCAUCUAAAUGUUCACCCCAGAGGACUGGUUAAAUAGCACAUCCACAUGAUGGAAUACCGAUGCAGUCACUUAAAAGCAUUAGAGAUGCAAAGCUUCAUGGACUGAUAUAGAAUAACUGCCAGGAUGAAUUAACUGAAAAAGCAGGAUCUCAUUCUAUCAUCCCAGCUGGAGUGCAGUGGCA
This is a long non-coding RNA of Homo sapiens (human), 4926 nucleotides long. RefSeq lists it as uncharacterized. The record is from RefSeq and is a predicted model, not a curated record. The transcript is spliced from 3 exons. Lineage: Eukaryota; Metazoa; Chordata; Mammalia; Primates; Hominidae.